AUUGAACGCUGGCGGCAGGCUUAACACAUGCAAGUCGAGCGGUAGCACAGGGGAGCUUGCUCCCUGGGUGACGAGCGGCGGACGGGUGAGUAAUGUCUGGGAAACUGCCUGAUGGAGGGGGAUAACUACUGGAAACGGUAGCUAAUACCGCAUAACGUCGCAAGACCAAAGAGGGGGACCUUCGGGCCUCUUGCCAUCAGAUGUGCCCAGAUGGGAUUAGCUAGUAGGUGGGGUAAUGGCUCACCUAGGCGACGAUCCCUAGCUGGUCUGAGAGGAUGACCAGCCACACUGGAACUGAGACACGGUCCAGACUCCUACGGGAGGCAGCAGUGGGGAAUAUUGCACAAUGGGCGCAAGCCUGAUGCAGCCAUGCCGCGUGUGUGAAGAAGGCCUUCGGGUCGUAAAGCACUUUCAGCGAGGAGGAAGGUGGUGAGCUUAAUACGUUCAUCAAUUGACGUUACUCGCAGAAGAAGCACCGGCUAACUCCGUG
RNAcentral lists this ribosomal RNA (490 nucleotides) under uncultured bacterium. Its description in RNAcentral is "partial 16S ribosomal RNA". It matches the Rfam family "Bacterial small subunit ribosomal RNA", at positions 30 to 507 of the family's 1533-position model. The record is from RNAcentral.